RNAcentral lists this ribosomal RNA (304 nucleotides) under uncultured Fusobacterium sp. RNAcentral describes it as "bacterial SSU rRNA". It matches the Rfam family "Bacterial small subunit ribosomal RNA", at positions 1212 to 1513 of the family's 1533-position model. The record is from RNAcentral. Lineage: Bacteria; Fusobacteriati; Fusobacteriota; Fusobacteriia; Fusobacteriales; Fusobacteriaceae.
GGCUACACACGUGCUACAAUGGGUAGUACAGAGAGUCGCAAAGCCGUGAGGUGGAGCUAAUCUCAGAAAACUAUUCUUAGUUCGGAUUGUACUCUGCAACUCGAGUACAUGAAGUUGGAAUCGCUAGUAAUCGCGAAUCAGCAAUGUCGCGGGUGAAUACGUUCUCGGGUCUUGUACACACCGCCCGUCACACCACGAGAGUUGGUUGCACCUGAAGUAGCAGGCCUAACCGUAAGGAGGGAUGCUCCGAGGGUGUGAUUAGCGAUUGGGGUGAAGUCGUAACAAGGUAUCCGUACGGGAACGU